Molecule: ribosomal RNA, 465 nt
Filed under: Vreelandella stevensii
Lineage: Bacteria; Pseudomonadati; Pseudomonadota; Gammaproteobacteria; Oceanospirillales; Halomonadaceae
Description: partial 16S ribosomal RNA
Rfam family: Bacterial small subunit ribosomal RNA
Source: RNAcentral
CCUACGGGGGGCAGCAGUGGGGAAUAUUGGACAAUGGGGGGAACCCUGAUCCAGCCAUGCCGCGUGUGUGAAGAAGGCCCUCGGGUUGUAAAGCACUUUCAGUGAGGAAGAACGCCUUGUGGUUAAUACCCAUCAGGAAAGACAUCACUCACAGAAGAAGCACCGGCUAACUCCGUGCCAGCAGCCGCGGUAAUACGGAGGGUGCGAGCGUUAAUCGGAAUUACUGGGCGUAAAGCGCGCGUAGGUGGCUUGAUAAGCCGGUUGUGAAAGCCCCGGGCUCAACCUGGGAACGGCAUCCGGAACUGUCAAGCUAGAGUGUAGGAGAGGAAGGUAGAAUUCCCGGUGUAGCGGUGAAAUGCGUAGAGAUCGGGAGGAAUACCAGUGGCGAAGGCGGCCUUCUGGACUGACACUGACACUGAGGUGCGAAAGCGUGGGUAGCAAACAGGAUUAGAUACCCUGGUAGUC